GAAGUGUUAUCCGCGUCGGACCGUGUACAAGUCUCCUGGAAUGGAGCGUCAUAGAGGGUGAGAAUCCCGUCCAUGACACGGACGCCCCGAUGCUUUGUGAGGCACUCUCAAAGAGUCGAGUUGUUUGGGAAUGCAGCUCAAAAUGGGUGGUAAAUUCCAUCUAAAGCUAAAUAUUGGCGAGAGACCGAUAGCGAACAAGUACCGUGAGGGAAAGAUGAAAAGCACUUUGGAAAGAGAGUUAAACAGUACGUGAAAUUGUUGAAAGGGAAACGCUUGAAGUCAGUCGCGUCCCGUGGAACUCAGCCUGGCUUCGGCCUGGUGUACUUUCCAUGUGGACGGGUCAACAUCAAUUUCGGCCGGUGGAAAAGGGCGAGGGGAAUGUAGCGUUGUUUCGGCGACGUGUUAUAGCCUCUUGUCGUAUACNCUGGCUGGGANUGAGGACUGCAGCACGCCCUUGUGGCCGGGGGUUCGCCCCACGUAAGGUGCUUAGGAUGUUGNCAUAAUGNCUUUAANCGACCCGUCUUGNAACACGGACCAAGGAGUCUAACAUGCUUNCGAGUGUUCGGGUGNAAAANCCUUGCNCGUAAUGNAANUGAAAGUUGGGAGCCUCCNCGAGGGGGUGCACCGACNCCCGGCCCUGA
RNAcentral lists this ribosomal RNA (641 nucleotides) under Tropicoporus nullisetus. RNAcentral describes it as "partial large subunit ribosomal RNA". It matches the Rfam family "Eukaryotic large subunit ribosomal RNA", at positions 151 to 774 of the family's 3401-position model. The record is from RNAcentral. Lineage: Eukaryota; Fungi; Basidiomycota; Agaricomycetes; Hymenochaetales; Hymenochaetaceae.